This 1424-nucleotide ribosomal RNA is filed under the name uncultured bacterium. Its description in RNAcentral is "bacterial SSU rRNA". It matches the Rfam family "Bacterial small subunit ribosomal RNA". The record is from RNAcentral.
GAGUUUGAUCAUGGCUCAGGACGAACGCUGGCGGCGUGCUUAACACAUGCAAGUCGAACGGUGAAGCGCCUUCCUUUUUGGUGGGUGUGGAUGAGUGGCGAACGGGUGAGUAACACGUGAGUAACCCGCCCCCUUCUUCUGGAUAACCGCAUGAAAGUGUGGCUAAUACGGGAUAUUCUGUGCCUGCUGCAUGGUGGGUGUGGGAAAGAUUGCGCUUUUUUGGUGUUUUUGGUGGGGGAUGGGCUCGCGGCCUAUCAGCUUGUUGGUGGGGUGAUGGCCUACCAAGGCGGUGACGGGUAGCCGGCCUGAGAGGGUGGACGGUCACACUGGGACUGAGACACGGCCCAGACUCCUACGGGAGGCAGCAGUGGGGAAUAUUGCACAAUGGGCGCAAGCCUGAUGCAGCGACGCCGCGUGAGGGAUGGAGGCCUUCGGGUUGUGAACCUCUUUCGCCAGUGAAGCAGGCCUGCCUCGUUUUGUGGGUGGGUUGACGGUAGCUGGAUAAGAAGCGCCGGCUAACUACGUGCCAGCAGCCGCGGUAAUACGUAGGGCGCGAGCGUUGUCCGGAAUUAUUGGGCGUAAAGAGCUCGUAGGCGGCUGGUCGCGUCUGUCGUGAAAUCCUCUGGCUUAACUGGGGGCUUGCGGUGGGUACGGGCCGGCUUGAGUGCGGUAGGGGAGACUGGAACUCCUGGUGUAGCGGUGGAAUGCGCAGAUAUCAGGAAGAACACCGGUGGCGAAGGCGGGUCUCUGGGCCGUUACUGACGCUGAGGAGCGAAAGCGUGGGGAGCGAACAGGAUUAGAUACCCUGGUAGUCCACGCCGUAAACGUUGGGCACUAGGUGUGGGGGGCCUUUUCCGGGUUUUCCGCGCCGUAGCUAACGCAUUAAGUGCCCCGCCUGGGGAGUACGGCCGCAAGGCUAAAACUCAAAGGAAUUGACGGGGGCCCGCACAAGCGGCGGAGCAUGCGGAUUAAUUCGAUGCAACGCGAAGAACCUUACCAAGGCUUGACAUGUGCCGGUCGGCUCCGGAGACGGGGUUUCCUCCUUGUGGGGCCGGUUCACAGGUGGUGCAUGGUUGUCGUCAGCUCGUGUCGUGAGAUGUUGGGUUAAGUCCCGCAACGAGCGCAACCCUUGUCUCGUGUUGCCAGCACGUUGUGGUGGGGACUCGCGGGAGACUGCCGGGGUCAACUCGGAGGAAGGUGGGGAUGACGUCAAAUCAUCAUGCCCCUUAUGUCUUGGGCUUCACGCAUGCUACAAUGGCCGGUACAGAGGGCUGCGAUACCGUGAGGUGGAGCGAAUCCCUUAAAGCCGGUCUCAGUUCGGAUCGGUGUCUGCAACUCGACACCGUGAAGUUGGAGUCGCUAGUAAUCGCAGAUCAGCAACGCUGCGGUGAAUACGUUCUCGGGCCUUGCACACACCGCCCGUC